CAAUAAGCGGAGGGAAAAGAAACUAACAAGGAUUCCCCUAGUAACGGCGAGUGAACCGGGAAGAGCUCAAAUUUGAAAUCUGGCGUCCUCAGGGCGUCCGAGUUGUAAUCUAUAGAGGCGUUUUCCGUGCCGGACCGUGUCCAAGUUCCUUGGAACAGGAUAUCAAAGAGGGUGACAAUCCCGUACUUGACACGACGACCGGUGCUCUGUGAUACGUCUUCUACGAGUCGAGUUGUUUGGGAAUGCAGCUCAAAAUGGGUGGUGAGUUCCAUCUAAAGCUAAAUAUUGGCGAGAGACCGAUAGCGAACAAGUACCGUGAGGGAAAGAUGAAAAGCACUUUGGAAAGAGAGUUAAACAGUACGUGAAAUUGUUGAAAGGGAAACGAUUGAAGUCCGUUCGGACCGAGAGGGUUCGCCGGGUUCGCCCGGGGUUUCCCCCUCGGUCGGGUCAACAUCAGUUUUGUCCGGUGGAUAAGGGCGGUAGGAAGGUGGCACCCUCGGGUGUGUUAUAGCCUGCCGUCGCAUACAUCGGGUGAGACUGAGGAACGCAGCUCGCCUUUAUGGCCGGGGUCGCCCACGUCCGAGC
RNAcentral lists this ribosomal RNA (585 nucleotides) under Papiliotrema laurentii. RNAcentral describes it as "partial large subunit ribosomal RNA". It matches the Rfam family "Eukaryotic large subunit ribosomal RNA", at positions 44 to 606 of the family's 3401-position model. The record is from RNAcentral. Lineage: Eukaryota; Fungi; Basidiomycota; Tremellomycetes; Tremellales; Rhynchogastremaceae.